This 472-nucleotide ribosomal RNA is filed under the name uncultured Geobacillus sp. Its description in RNAcentral is "bacterial SSU rRNA". It matches the Rfam family "Bacterial small subunit ribosomal RNA", at positions 916 to 1381 of the family's 1533-position model. The record is from RNAcentral. Lineage: Bacteria; Bacillati; Bacillota; Bacilli; Caryophanales; Anoxybacillaceae.
AGACGGGGCCCGCACAAGCGGUGGAGCAUGUGGUUUAAUUCGACGCAACGCGAAGAACCUUACCAGGGCUUGACAUCCCCUGACCGCGUAUGAAAGUACGUUUUCACCCUCGGGUGACAGGGAGACAGGUGGUGCAUGGUUGUCGUCAGCUCGUGUCGUGAGAUGUUGGGUUAAGUCCCGCAACGAGCGCAACCCUCGCCUCUAGUUGCCAGCAUUCGGUUGGGCACUCUAGAGGGACUGCCGGCGACAAGUCGGAGGAAGGUGGGGAUGACGUCAAAUCAUCAUGCCCCUUAUGACCUGGGCUACACACGUGCUACAAUGGGCGGUACAAAGGGCUGCGAACCCGCGAGGGGGAGCGAAUCCCAAAAAGCCGCUCUCAGUUCGGAUUGCAGGCUGCAACUCGCCUGCAUGAAGCCGGAAUCGCUAGUAAUCGCGGAUCAGCAUGCCGCGGUGAAUACCGCUCCCAGGCCUU